RNAcentral lists this ribosomal RNA (800 nucleotides) under uncultured bacterium. Its description in RNAcentral is "bacterial SSU rRNA". It matches the Rfam family "Bacterial small subunit ribosomal RNA", at positions 8 to 808 of the family's 1533-position model. The record is from RNAcentral.
AGAGUUUGAUCAUGGCUCAGGAUGAACGCUGGCGGCGUGCCUAACACAUGCAAGUCGAACGAAGCACACUGGAAAGAGAUUUCGGUCAAUGGAAGGUGUGACUUAGUGGCGGACGGGUGAGUAACGCGUGAGCAACCUGCCUUGGAGAGGGGGACAACAGCUGGAAACGGCUGCUAAUACCGCAUAAUAUUGGGGGAAGGCAUCUUCCCCUGAUCAAAGCGAAUACGCUCUGAGAUGGGCUCGCGUCUGAUUAGCUAGAUGGUGAGGUAAGGGCUCACCAUGGCGACGAUCAGUAGCCGGACUGAGAGGUUGAACGGCCACAUUGGGACUGAGAUACGGCCCAGACUCCUACGGGAGGCAGCAGUGGGGAAUAUUGGUCAAUGGGGGGAACCCUGAACCAGCAACGCCGCGUGAAGGAAGAAGGCUUUCGGGUUGUAAACUUCUUUUAUCUGUGACGAUAGUGACGGUAGCAGAUGAAUAAGCUACGGCUAACUACGUGCCAGCAGCCGCGGUAAUACGUAGGUAGCGAGCGUUAUCCGGAUUUACUGGGUGUAAAGGGCGUGUAGGCGGGACUGCAAGUCAGGUGUGAAAACUAUGGGCUUAACCCAUAGCCUGCAUUUGAAACUGUAGUUCUUGAGUACUGGAGAGGCAGUCGGAAUUCCGUGUGUAGCGGUGAAAUGCGUAGAUAUAUGGAAGAACACCUGUGGCGAAGGCGGCUUACUAGCUCGAUACUGACGCUCAGUCACGAAAGCGUGGGUAGCAAAUAGGAUUAGAUACCCUAGUAGUCCACGCCGUAAACG